CGACGAAUCUUCCGCAAUGGGCGAAAGCCUGACGGAGCAAUGCCGCGUGCAGGAUGAAGCGGCUACGCCGUGUAAACUGCUGUCAGGGGGUAGAAACACUGAUCACCCCCAAAGGAAGAGCCGGCUAACCCUGUGCCAGCAGCCGCGGUAAGACAGGGGGCUCGAGCGUUAAUCGGAAUCAUUGGGCUUAAAGGGUGCGUAGGCGGGUCGCUAAGUGUUCUGUGAAAUCCCCCGGCUCAACCGGGGAAUCGCAGGGCAUACUGGCGGCCUUGAGGCAUGUAGGGGCGGACGGAACUGUAGGUGGAGCGGUGAAAUGCGUAGAUAUCUACAGGAACGCCGAUGGUGAAGACGGUCCGCUGGGCAUGUCCUGACGCUGAGGCACGAAAGCGUGGGGAGCAAACAGGAUUAGAUACCCCGGUAGUCC
Molecule: ribosomal RNA, 424 nt
Filed under: uncultured bacterium
Lineage: Bacteria
Description: bacterial SSU rRNA
Rfam family: Bacterial small subunit ribosomal RNA
Source: RNAcentral